Lynx canadensis (Canada lynx) is the source of this 128-nucleotide ribosomal RNA. Lineage: Eukaryota; Metazoa; Chordata; Mammalia; Carnivora; Felidae. The record is from Ensembl.
GUCUACGGCCAUACCACCCUGAACGCGCCCGAUCUCGUCUGAUCUCGGAAGCUAAGCAGGGUCGGGCCUGGUUAGUACUUGGAUGGGAGGAGGGCACCUGUUGGGAUGAGCACUGGGUGUUGUAUGGA